RNAcentral lists this ribosomal RNA (157 nucleotides) under Aspergillus carbonarius. Its description in RNAcentral is "5.8S ribosomal RNA". It matches the Rfam family "5.8S ribosomal RNA". From Rfam's summary of the family: 5.8S ribosomal RNA (5.8S rRNA) is a component of the large subunit of the eukaryotic ribosome. It is transcribed by RNA polymerase I as part of the 45S precursor that also contains 18S and 28S rRNA. The record is from RNAcentral. Lineage: Eukaryota; Fungi; Ascomycota; Eurotiomycetes; Eurotiales; Aspergillaceae.
AAACUUUCAACAAUGGAUAUACCGGUUCCGGCAUCGAUGAAGAACGCACCGAAAUGCGAUAACAAAUGUGAAUUGCACAAUUCAGUGAAUCAUCGAGUCUUUGAACGCACAAUGCGCCCCCCGGUAUUCCGGGGGGCAUGCCUGUCCAAGCGUCAUA